GCCGGGCAUGGUGGCUCAUGCCUGUAAUCCCAGCACUUUGGGAGGCUGAGGUGGGUGGAUCAUCUGAGGUCAGGAGUUUGACACCAGCCUGGCCAACAUGGUGAAUCCCCAUCUCUA
Unclassified non-coding RNA from Pongo abelii (Sumatran orangutan), 117 nucleotides. It matches the Rfam family "Metazoan signal recognition particle RNA". From Rfam's summary of the family: The signal recognition particle (SRP) is a universally conserved ribonucleoprotein. Lineage: Eukaryota; Metazoa; Chordata; Mammalia; Primates; Hominidae. The record is from Ensembl.